Molecule: ribosomal RNA, 492 nt
Filed under: uncultured bacterium
Lineage: Bacteria
Description: partial 16S ribosomal RNA
Rfam family: Bacterial small subunit ribosomal RNA
Source: RNAcentral
AGUGAACGCUGGCGGUAGGCUUAGCACAUGCAAGUCGAACGGCAGCACAGUAAGAGCUUGCUCUUACGGGUGGCGAGUGGCGGACGGGUGAGGAAUACAUCGGAAUCUACUUUUUCGUGGGGGAUAACGUAGGGAAAAUUACGCUAAUACCGCAUACGACCUACGGGUGAAAGCAGGGGAUCUUCGGACCUUGCGCGAUCGAAUGAGCCGAUGUCGGAUUAGUUAGUUGGCGGGGUAAAGGCCCACCAAGGCGACGAUCCGUAGCUGGUCUGAGAGGAUGAUCAGCCACACUGGGACUGAGACACGGUCCAGACUCCUACGGGAGGCAGCAGUGGGGAAUAUUGGACAAUGGGCGCAAGCCUGAUCCAGCCAUACCGCGUGGGUGAAGAAGGCCUUCGGGUUGUAAAGCCCUUUUGUUGGGAAAGAAAAGCAGCAGGUUAAUACCCCGCUGUUCUGACGGUACCCAAAGAAUAAGCACCGGCUAACUUCGUG